This 251-nucleotide ribosomal RNA is filed under the name uncultured bacterium. RNAcentral's name for it is "partial 16S ribosomal RNA". It matches the Rfam family "Bacterial small subunit ribosomal RNA", at positions 85 to 339 of the family's 1533-position model. The record is from RNAcentral.
GAUAUGGACAGUGGCGGACGGGUGAGUAACACGUGGGAAUCUACCAUAGAGUACGGAAUAACGCAGUGAAAACUGUGCUAAUACCGUAUACGCCCUUAGGGGGAAAGGAGGGGAUCUUCGGACCUUUCGCUAUGAGAUGAGCCUGCGUUAGAUUAGCUAGUUGGUAGGGUAAAGGCCUACCAAGGCGACGAUCUAUAGCUGGUCUGAGAGGACGAUCAGCCACACUGGGACUGAGACACGGCCCAGACUCC